RNAcentral lists this ribosomal RNA (1070 nucleotides) under Penicillium expansum. Its description in RNAcentral is "SSU rRNA". It matches the Rfam family "Eukaryotic small subunit ribosomal RNA", at positions 53 to 1131 of the family's 1831-position model. The record is from RNAcentral. Lineage: Eukaryota; Fungi; Ascomycota; Eurotiomycetes; Eurotiales; Aspergillaceae.
GCAUGUCUAAGUAUAAGCAACUUGUACUGUGAAACUGCGAAUGGCUCAUUAAAUCAGUUAUCGUUUAUUUGAUAGUACCUUACUACAUGGAUACCUGUGGUAAUUCUAGAGCUAAUACAUGCUAAAAACCCCGACUUCAGGAAGGGGUGUAUUUAUUAGAUAAAAAACCAACGCCCUUCGGGGCUCCUUGGUGAAUCAUAAUAACUUAACGAAUCGCAUGGCCUUGCGCCGGCGAUGGUUCAUUCAAAUUUCUGCCCUAUCAACUUUCGAUGGUAGGAUAGUGGCCUACCAUGGUGGCAACGGGUAACGGGGAAUUAGGGUUCGAUUCCGGAGAGGGAGCCUGAGAAACGGCUACCACAUCCAAGGAAGGCAGCAGGCGCGCAAAUUACCCAAUCCCGAUACGGGGAGGUAGUGACAAUAAAUACUGAUACGGGGCUCUUUUGGGUCUCGUAAUUGGAAUGAGAACAAUUUAAAUCCCUUAACGAGGAACAAUUGGAGGGCAAGUCUGGUGCCAGCAGCCGCGGUAAUUCCAGCUCCAAUAGCGUAUAUUAAAGUUGUUGCAGUUAAAAAGCUCGUAGUUGAACCUUGGGUCUGGCUGGCCGGUCCGCCUCACCGCGAGUACUGGUCCGGCUGGACCUUUCCUUCUGGGGAACCUCAUGGCCUUCACUGGCUGUGGGGGGAACCAGGACUUUUACUGUGAAAAAAUUAGAGUGUUCAAAGCAGGCCUUUGCUCGAAUACAUUAGCAUGGAAUAAUAGAAUAGGACGUGUGGUUCUAUUUUGUUGGUUUCUAGGACCGCCGUAAUGAUUAAUAGGGAUAGUCGGGGGCGUCAGUAUUCAGCUGUCAGAGGUGAAAUUCUUGGAUUUGCUGAAGACUAACUACUGCGAAAGCAUUCGCCAAGGAUGUUUUCAUUAAUCAGGGAACGAAAGUUAGGGGAUCGAAGACGAUCAGAUACCGUCGUAGUCUUAACCAUAAACUAUGCCGACUAGGGAUCGGACGGGAUUCUAUAAUGACCCGUUCGGCACCUUACGAGAAAUCAAAGUUUUUGGGUUNNUGGGGGGAGUAUNGNCG